AUUGAACGCUGGCGGCAGGCCUAACACAUGCAAGUCGAACGGUAACAGGAAACAGCUUGCUGUUUCGCUGACGAGUGGCGGACGGGUGAGUAAUGUCUGGGAAACUGCCUGAUGGAGGGGGAUAACUACUGGAAACGGUAGCUAAUACCGCAUAACGUCGCAAGACCAAAGAGGGGGAACCUCGGGCCUCUUGCCAUCGGAUGUGCCCAGAUGGGAUUAGCUUGUUGGUGGGGUAACGGCUCACCAAGGCGACGAUCCCUAGCUGGUCUGAGAGGAUGACCAGCCACACUGGAACUGAGACACGGUCCAGACUCCUACGGGAGGCAGCAGUGGGGAAUAUUGCACAAUGGGCGCAAGCCUGAUGCAGCCAUGCCGCGUGUAUGAAGAAGGCCUUCGGGUUGUAAAGUACUUUCAGCGGGGAGGAAGGGAGUAAAGUUAAUACCUUUGCUCAUUGACGUUACCCGCAGAAGAAGCACCGGCUAACUCCGUG
Molecule: ribosomal RNA, 490 nt
Filed under: uncultured bacterium
Lineage: Bacteria
Description: partial 16S ribosomal RNA
Rfam family: Bacterial small subunit ribosomal RNA
Source: RNAcentral